AUGGAAACAGGAGUUCUUAAUGUACUUGAUGGCGACUGGCAAAUCAACGGAACCGGAAAAGAGAAAACUUGCAAAUUUCUUGUGGCUAGUGGGAAGAAAAGGUACACAAAUGGUACACAGAAUUCUAUGCUUGGAACAGUAACAACGGAAAGCAGUGUUCAGCAACGCACAAUGGAGGAGGUGCUUAAAAAGUUUGAUGAAUUUUGCCUACCACAACGAAAUAAUGCAAUGGAGUCUUACAAAUUCAACAUGAUUACACAAAAAGAGCGUCAACCUUUUAGUGAAUUUGAAACAAACUUGCGGGAACAGCUACAUCAUUGUGAAUUCGUAUGUGAGUGUGGCAAAUCAUACCAAAACCGAAUGCUGCGUGACCGUAUUAUCAUCGGAGUGCAUGACAAAAAACUACAACUGAAACUUCUGGACGGGCGUGAUGACAUUUGUCAAAAGUCAUUGAUACUUGCAAAGCACAUGAAGCAGCCUCUAUCCAUAAAGGAAUACUGGAAGGAAACCAGUCGGUUAAUAUCAUCAAAGACGACGGACCUGUAAUUAAUGCGAUUAAUAGAGUUUGCUUCAACUGCGGGGGACCAUGGAAAUUUGGUCACAAAGACGAAUGCAAAGCAAAGGACAUAACGUGUCAUCGUUGUGCAAAAAAGGGUCAUUUCCAAAGGAUGUGCCGAAAGCGGAAAUCUCAAACCAUGGGCGUGAAGACAGCAAGCCAGAAGGAAAACAAGAACGAAGGAGGUAUGGCAGGCUCUAGUAGCAAUAAUUCACAAGAAUAAAUUCAAUCGGAGUAAAACACAAGAGGAGGACCAAAGACUAUCAGAUAGGCGGACAGAUAGUUACAUUUAAGCUAGACAGCGGAUCCGAUGUAAACUGCAUUCAAAGAAAUCUACUUGAAAAACUUAAAAAGGAAAAUAAUCUUAAGCUUAAUUAUGAAUUGAAUGAAAUGUUGGCUUUGGAUUAUAAUGGCAACAUGAUAAAAGUAUAUGGAUCAGUA
Molecule: long non-coding RNA, 997 nt
Organism: Scaptodrosophila lebanonensis
Lineage: Eukaryota; Metazoa; Arthropoda; Insecta; Diptera; Drosophilidae
Exons: 2
Source: RefSeq, a predicted model, not a curated record